CCCUAGGGAGGCAGCAGUGGGGAAUAUUGGACAAUGGGGGAAACCCUGAUCCAGCGACGCCGCGUGAGUGAAGAAGUAUUUCGGUAUGUAAAGCUCUAUCAGCAGGGAAGAAAAAAAUGACGGUACCUGACUAAGAAGCCCCGGCUAACUACGUGCCAGCAGCCGCGGUAAUACGUAGGGGGCAAGCGUUAUCCGGAAUUACUGGGUGUAAAGGGAGCGUAGACGGUUAAGUAAGUCUGGAGUGAAAGGCCGGGGCCCAACCCCGGGACUGCUCUGGAAACUAUUCAACUUGAGUGCAGGAGAGG
This 305-nucleotide ribosomal RNA is filed under the name uncultured bacterium. RNAcentral's name for it is "bacterial SSU rRNA". It matches the Rfam family "Bacterial small subunit ribosomal RNA", at positions 338 to 657 of the family's 1533-position model. The record is from RNAcentral.